RNAcentral lists this unclassified non-coding RNA (336 nucleotides) under soil metagenome. Its description in RNAcentral is "partial contains 5.8S ribosomal RNA, internal transcribed spacer 2, and large subunit ribosomal RNA". The stretch from base 1 to 120 matches the Rfam family "5.8S ribosomal RNA", at positions 35 to 154 of the family's 154-position model. The record is from RNAcentral.
GAUGAAGAACGCAGCGAAAUGCGAUAAGUAAUGUGAAUUGCAGAAUUCAGUGAAUCAUCGAAUCUUUGAACGCACAUUGCGCCCGCCAGUAUUCUGGCGGGCAUGCCUGUUCGAGCGUCAUUUCAACCAUCAAGCCCCCGGCUUGUGUUGGGGACCUGCGGCUGCCGCAGGCCCUGAAAACCAGUGGCGGGCUCGCUGUCACACCGAGCGUAGUAGAUUUUCAUCUUGCUCAGGGCGUGCUGCGGGUUCCGGCCGUAAAAAGCCUUAUUUACCCAAGGUUGACCUCGGAUCAGGUAGGAAGACCCGCUGAACUUAAGCAUAUCAAUAAGCGGAGGA